GCGGCAGGCCUAACACAUGCAAGUCGAACGCUGUAGCAAUACAGAGUGGCAGACGGGUGAGUAACGCGUGGGAACAUGCCCUUCGGUUCGGAAUAACUCAGGGAAACUUGAGCUAAUACCGGAUACGCCCUUAGGGGGAAAGAUUUAUUGCCGAAGGAUUGGCCCGCGUCCGAUUAGCUAGUUGGUGAGGUAAUGGCUCACCAAGGCGACGAUCGGUAGCUGGUCUGAGAGGAUGAUCAGCCACACUGGGACUGAGACACGGCCCAGACUCCUACGGGAGGCAGCAGUGGGGAAUAUUGGACAAUGGGCGCAAGCCUGAUCCAGCCAUGCCGCGUGAGUGAUGAAGGCCCUAGGGUUGUAAAGCUAUUUCGCCAGGGACGAUAAUGACGGUACCUGGAUAAGAAGCCCCGGCUAACUUCGUGCCA
Molecule: ribosomal RNA, 425 nt
Filed under: uncultured Methylocystis sp.
Lineage: Bacteria; Pseudomonadati; Pseudomonadota; Alphaproteobacteria; Hyphomicrobiales; Methylocystaceae
Description: bacterial SSU rRNA
Rfam family: Bacterial small subunit ribosomal RNA
Source: RNAcentral